Molecule: ribosomal RNA, 965 nt
Filed under: Brachycladium sp. (in: ascomycete fungi)
Lineage: Eukaryota; Fungi; Ascomycota; Dothideomycetes; Pleosporales; Pleosporaceae
Description: eukaryotic LSU rRNA
Rfam family: Eukaryotic large subunit ribosomal RNA (bases 337-965)
Source: RNAcentral
UUAUAAUAAUUUACAACUUUUCAACAAACGGAUCUUUAUGGUUUCUGCCAUCUAUGAAAGAAGGCAGCGAUAUUGCGAUUAAGUAGUGUGAAUUGCAGAAUUCAGUGAAUCAUCGAAUCUUUGAACGCACAUUGCGCCCUUUUGUAUUCCAAAGGGCAUGCUUGUUAGAGCGUCAUUUGUACCCUCAAGCUUUGCUUGGUGUUGGGCGUCUUGUCUCCAGUUCGCUGGGGACUCGCCUUAAAGUUAUUGGCAGCCGGCCUACUGGUUUCGGAGCGCAGCACAAGUCGCGCUCUCUUCCAGCCAAGGUCAGCAUCCACAAAGCCUUUUUUCAACUUUUGACCUCGGAUCAGGUAGGGAUACCCGCUGAACUUAAGCAUAUCAAUAAGCGGAGGAAAAGAAACCAACAGGGAUUGCCCUAGUAACGGCGAGUGAAGCGGCAACAGCUCAAAUUUGAAAUCUGGCUCUUUUAGAGUCCGAGUUGUAAUUUGCAGAGGGCGCUUUGGCUUUGGCAGCGGUCCAAGUUCCUUGGAACAGGACGUCACAGAGGGUGAGAAUCCCGUACGUGGUCGCUGGCUAUUGCCGUGUAAAGCCCCUUCGACGAGUCGAGUUGUUUGGGAAUGCAGCUCUAAAUGGGAGGUACAUUUCUUCUAAAGCUAAAUAUUGGCCAGAGACCGAUAGCGCACAAGUAGAGUGAUCGAAAGAUGAAAAGCACUUUGGAAAGAGAGUCAAACAGCACGUGAAAUUGUUGAAAGGGAAGCGCUUGCAGCCAGACUUGCUUGCAGUUGCUCAUCCGGGCUUUUGCCCGGUGCACUCUUCUGUAGGCAGGCCAGCAUCAGUUUGGGCGGUAGGAUAAAGGUCUCUGUCACGUACCUCUCUUCGGGGAGGCCUUAUAGGGGAGACGACAUACUACCAGCCUGGACUGAGGUCCGCGCAUCUGCUAGAUGCUGGCGUAUGUCUCGGGGUUU